CGGGCGCCUGUAGUCCCAGCUACUAGGGAGGCUGAGCCAGAAGAAUGGCGUGAACCCGGGAGGCAGAGCUUACAGUGAGCCGAGAUUGCGCCACUGCACUCCAGCCUGGGCGACAGAGCCAGACUCCGUCUCAAAAAAAAAGAUGCAAACUCAGAAUAAGAGGGGAGUGUUUGAGGAGCCAAGAUGUGCAGUUGUCUUAUAAUUGGGUUGUUUAAAUCAUUUACUUGUAAUAUGAAGAUAGCUAUAGUGGAGUUUAAAUCCAUCAUCUUUUUUCCAUUUCUUGCUUGUAUUCUUUGUUUCCUUUUUCCUCUUUUCUAUUUUUGGAUUAGAAAUUGUUUUUUACAUUUUAAAAAGUGUUUUCUCUCUCUCCCCACCCUUUUAUAAGACACAAGGUCUCAUUCUGUUGCUCAGACUGGAGUGCAAUGAUGUGAUCAUAGCUCACUGCAGCCUCAAAUUCCUGUGCUCAAGCGAGCCUCUCUCUGCAUCAGCCUCCAAGGUAGUUGGGACUACAGGUGAGAGCCACCAUGCCUGCCAGGAAUUUUUUAUAACUCCAUUUUAUCUCCUUUUUAAGUUAUUAGUUAUAACUGUUGCAUUAAACCAGGGAUUGCCAGGCUUUAUUAGUAUACAACUUUAACUUAUCACAGUCUACCUUCAAAUGAUAUUAUAACAAUUCAUAUAAAGUUUAAGAAUCCAACAAUAUACUUCCACUUCUCUCCUCUUGGCCUUUGUGCUAUUGUCACAGGUUUUAUUUCCAUAGAUGUUAUAAACCUUAUACAUUAUAUUUUUGCAGAUCCAUGAUCAAUGAACCCUAAGCAUAAGAAAUAUGAAGAGUAUAGGCUGGGCACAGUAGCUCAUGCCUGUAGUCCCAGCACUUUGGGAGGCCAAGGCAGGCGGAUCACUUGAGGUCAGGAGUUCGAGACCAGCCUGGCCAACAUGGCGAAACCCUGUCUCUAUUAAAAAUACGAAAAUUAGCUGGCCAUGGUGGUGGGCACAUGUAGUCCCAGCUACUCGGGAGGCUGAAAUGGCAGAGAUAGAAAUCAUUUCAGGGGCCUGAUUGAUUGAACUCAGGAGGCAGAGGUUGCAGUAAGCUGAGAUCACACCACUGCACUCCAGCCUGGGCAACAGAGUGAGACUCCAUCUCAAAAAAAAGAAAUAUGAAGAACAUAGAAAAUGAUAGCAAGAUAUGUCACACACACACAUGCAAAAUUAGCCAGGUAUGGUGGUGUACACCUGUAGUCCUAGCCACUCAGGAGGCUGAAGUGGGAAGGUCACACGAGCUUAGGAGUUCAAGGCUGCAGUGAGCUAAGAUCAAGCCACUGCACUCCAGCCUGGGAAACAGCAAGACCCUGUCUCUACAUAAAUGAAUAAAGCCUCAGUGAACUGCAGGAUAACUUUAGGUGGCCUAAUUCAGGAAUGUGUAAUUGGAGCCUGAAGGGAGAGACUUCAAGACUUGUUUUUUAAAGAUUUUUUUUUUUCUGGUAAGGUACUUGUGAAAGGAAAAUUAAAACUCAAGACCCCAAAUCACUAUGCCAAAAGGAAAUAAUUUAGCUGAAAGCUGAGUCAUGCAAGAAGCUGUCUCUCCUUUUGUUCCUAAGCAGAUAGCUACAGAUAAAGGGUUAAAUACCUCUACAGGUAGCUACUGUAAUGUUCACCUUCUAUUAUAUAAAGGGCCACUUUACUGAGCACAAGACAAAUACAUAAUUGACUGUUCCCCUACUUGCUCCUUUUCUCUUGUAACAUAUGGAUUCAAUAAUGUGAUCAUCCCCUCCAUCUUUCCUCUCCAGCCUGCGUUUCCCCUUUAAAUACUGAAGACCUCAAAACCAUCUUUAGAGAAAGGCACAGACCUGUCUCCCAGGAACAUCCUUAACCUUGGCAAAAUAAACUUCUAAACUGAUUGAAACCUGUCUUGGAUGCUUUUUGGUUUAUAUACUCAAGAAGGAUAUUUUGUGUUUUUAAAAGGACAAAAGUAUUUUGUAUCUACCCGCAUAGCCACCACUUCCAGUGCUCUUCCUUUUUUGGGUAGAUUCAGAAUUCCGUCUGGCAACAUUUUUCUUCUACCUAAAAGAUUUCUGUUAACAUUUCUUAUAAUACAGGUCUUCUGGUGAUAAAUUCUUUCACCUUUUCUAUGUCUGAAAAAUUCUUCAUUUUGCCUUUUUUCUCUCAGUACUUUAUAAAGAUGUUACCCCACUUUCUUCUAGCUAACACUGUUUCCAGUGAGAAAUCUGCCAUAAUUAUUUUGUUCCUCUAUACAUAAUGUGUCUUAUCUCCAGCUGCUUUUAAGAUUUUUUUAUUACUGGCUUCAAAUACUUUGAUUAUGAUGUGACUUGGUAUAAUUUUCUUCAUAUUUCUUACACUUAGGGUUCAUUGAUCAUGAAUCUGCAGGUUUAUAGUUUUCAUUAAAUUUGGAAACUCGGGGGUGAGACCCUGUCUCUACAAAAAAUAAAAAUAAAAAAAUUAGCCAGGCAUGAUGGUGCAUGCUUGUAGUCCCAGCUACUCAGGAGAGGCUGAGGUAGGAGGACUGCUUAACCCCAGAAGUUCGAGGUUGCAGUGAGCUAUGAUCGCACAACUGCACUUUAGCCUGGGCAACAGAGUGAGAUCCCUUUAAAAAAAAUAGUUAUUUCUCUGAAUUUACACUCACAUAUCUUCUAUCUGAUGCUAAAAACUUUGGUUCCUAACAUUGUUAACAUAAUUAUUUAUCAUAAGUAUGCAUACAAUAAUUCCAAUAUAAAAUACCAAUAUUAUUACUAACAAUCAUGCCACUGAAUAAAUUUUAAGAGGUCUUUGGACUUCCAUUUCAUCCUUAGAGUAUAUCCUGCUAAGAACGUAUAGUCAAAACACCAUGUUCUAAAGUCUGUUGAAUUAAUUCUUCUUGUUACGUGGAUUAUAAUUUUAACAUAAUAUACAGGUAAGUUUAUUACCUUUUAUGUUGAGGAAUAUUUGGAUUGGAUAUGAAAUUCUAGGUUGGUAAUGAUUUUAUUUCAAGACAUUAACACUAUUAGUCUAACACCUUCUGUUGGUAUGGGGAAGUCAACUGUUAAUUUAUCUUUUAAAGAUGAUUUGUCCUCCUGACUGAUUUUAAGAUUCUUCUCUGUUUUUCAUCUCUUUAGGUGUAGAAAUCUUUUUUAUUUAUACUGCUUGAUUAUUCUGUUCUUAAAUCUGUCUCAGCCAUCCUGGCUAACACGGUGAAACCCCGUCUCUACUAAAAAUACAAAAAAUUAGCCUGGCGUGGUGGCGGGUGCCUGUAGUCCCAGCUACUUGGGAGGCUGAGGCAGGAGAAUGGCAUGAACCCGGGAGGCGGAGCUUGCAGUGAGCCAGAUCGAGCCACUGCACUCCAGCCUGGGCGACGGAGCGAGACUCCGUCACACACACGCACACACACACACAAAUCUGUCUCAGUUGUUUCAGCCAUUAACUCUUUAAAUAUUGUUUCUGCCCUAUUUUCUCUUCUCUCUUCUCUUUUUGGACAUCAAUUAAAUAUACAUUAGACAGUUUUACUCUUUACUCUGUUAACCCCUCUCUUCUGUAUUUUCCAUAACUUGUCUCUUUGUUUUAUUUUUGCUAAGUUCUUGCUAUCUUUAGCUUUUAGUUUACAAAUUCACUUAAGUUGUACUUAAUCUGCUGUUAAACCAGUGUACUGAAUUUUAUUCAACAUUGGUUAUUAUAUUUCUUGAUUCUACAAUUUCUGUUUUGUUCUUGUUAAAAGGUAUUUCAUAUUUUACAGUUUCAGUUUUCUAGUAAAAUUUUCAAACUUUGCUUUCAUUUUCAUCAACAUAGUAAGCAUAAUUUUUCAUUUUUUUUUUUUUGAAACUGGUCUCACGUCACCCAGGCUGAAGGGCAAUGGCACGAUCAUGGCUCACUGCAGUCCUGACCUCCUGUGCUCAAGCAAUCUUCCCACUUCAGCCUCCUGAGUAGGUGGCACCACAGGCAUGCACCACACAUGCACAGGUAACUUGUAUAGAGAUGGGGGUCUCACUGUGUUUCCCAGGCUGAUCUCGAACUUGCAGGCUCAAGCAAUCCUCCUGCCUCAGCCUCCCAAAGUGCUGAGAUUAUAGGUGUGAACCACCACACCCAGCUAAGCAUAACUUUU
RNAcentral lists this long non-coding RNA (4087 nucleotides) under Homo sapiens (human). RNAcentral's name for it is "HSALNT0177121". Lineage: Eukaryota; Metazoa; Chordata; Mammalia; Primates; Hominidae. The record is from RNAcentral.